CUCCUGAUUGAUAAACAUUUGAGUGAGUGGCGGACGGGUGAGUAACACGUGGGUAACCUGCCCUAAAGUGGGGGAUAACAUUUGGAAACAGAUGCUAAUACCGCAUAAAACCUAACACCGCAUGGUGUAGGGUUGAAAGAUGGUUUCGGCUAUCACUUUAGGAUGGACCCGCGGUGCAUUAGUUAGUUGGUGAGGUAAAGGCUCACCAAGACCGUGAUGCAUAGCCGACCUGAGAGGGUAAUCGGCCACACUGGGACUGAGACACGGCCCAGACUCCUACGGGAGGCAGCAGUAGGGAAUCUUCCACAAUGGACGAAAGUCUGAUGGAGCAACGCCGCGUGAGUGAAGAAGGUUUUCGGAUCGUAAAACUCUGUUGUUGGAGAAGAAUGUAUCUGAUAGUAACUGAUCAGGUAGUGACGGUAUCCAACCAGAAAGCCACGGCUAACUACGUGCCAGCAGCCGCGGUAAUACGUAGGUGGCAAGCGUUGUCCGGAUUUAUUGGGCGUAAAGCGAGCGCAGGCGGUUUCUUAAGUCUGAUGUGAAAGCCUUCGGCUCAACCGAAGAAGUGCAUCGGAAACUGGGAAACUUGAGUGCAGAAGAGGACAGUGGAACUCCAUGUGUAGCGGUGAAAUGCGUAGAUAUAUGGAAGAACACCAGUGGCGAAGGCGGCUGUCUGGUCUGUAACUGACGCUGAGGCUCGAAAGCAUGGGUAGCAAACAGGAUUAGAUACCCUGGUAGUCCAUGCCGUAAACGAUGAGUGCUAGGUGUUGGAGGGUUUCCGCCCUUCAGUGCCGCAGCUAACGCAUUAAGCACUCCGCCUGGGGAGUACGACCGCAAGGUUGAAACUCAAAGGAAUUGACGGGGGCCCGCACAAGCGGUGGAGCAUGUGGUUUAAUUCGAAGCAACGCGAAGAACCUUACCAGGUCUUGACAUCCUUUGACCACUCUAGAGAUAGAGCUUUCCCUUCGGGGACAAAGUGACAGGUGGUGCAUGGUUGUCGUCAGCUCGUGUCGUGAGAUGUUGGGUUAAGUCCCGCAACGAGCGCAACCCUUAUUACUAGUUGCCAGCAUUAAGUUGGGCACUCUAGUGAGACUGCCGGUGACAAACCGGAGGAAGGUGGGGACGACGUCAAAUCAUCAUGCCCCUUAUGACCUGGGCUACACACGUGCUACAAUGGAUGGUACAACGAGUUGCGAGACCGCGAGGUUUAGCUAAUCUCUUAAAACCAUUCUCAGUUCGGAUUGUAGGCUGCAACUCGCCUACAUGAAGCCGGAAUCGCUAGUAAUCGCGGAUCAGCAUGCCGCGGUGAAUACGUUCCCGGGCCUUGUACACACCGCCCGUCACACCAUGAGAGUUUGUAACA
RNAcentral lists this ribosomal RNA (1363 nucleotides) under Latilactobacillus sakei. RNAcentral describes it as "bacterial SSU rRNA". It matches the Rfam family "Bacterial small subunit ribosomal RNA", at positions 69 to 1419 of the family's 1533-position model. The record is from RNAcentral. Lineage: Bacteria; Bacillati; Bacillota; Bacilli; Lactobacillales; Lactobacillaceae.